Molecule: ribosomal RNA, 490 nt
Filed under: uncultured bacterium
Lineage: Bacteria
Description: bacterial SSU rRNA
Rfam family: Bacterial small subunit ribosomal RNA
Source: RNAcentral
AAAUGAAUAGACGGGGGCCCGCACAAGCAGCGGAGCAUGUGGUUUAAUUCGAAGCAACGCGAAGAACCUUACCUAGACUUGACAUCUCCUGAAUUACCCUUAAUCGGGGAAGCCCUUCGGGGCAGGAAGACAGGUGGUGCAUGGUUGUCGUCAGCUCGUGUCGUGAGAUGUUGGGUUAAGUCCCGCAACGAGCGCAACCCUUAUCAUUAGUUGCUACCAUUAAGUUGAGCACUCUAGUGAGACUGCCACGGUUAACGUGGAGGAAGGUGGGGAUGACGUCAAAUCAUCAUGCCCCUUAUGUCUAGGGCUACACACGUGCUACAAUGGUGAAUACAAAUAGAUGCAAUACCGCGAGGUGGAGCCAAACUAUAAAAUUCAUCCCAGUUCGGAUUGUAGUCUGAAACUCGACUACAUGAAGCCGGAGUUGCUAGUAAUCGCGAAUCAGCAUGUCGCGGUGAAUACGUUCCCGGGCCUUGUACACACCGCCCGU